CGCUGGCGGCAGGCCUAACACAUGCAAGUCGAGCGGUAGCACAGAGAGCUUGCUCUCGGGUGACGAGCGGCGGACGGGUGAGUAAUGUCUGGGAAACUGCCUGAUGGAGGGGGAUAACUACUGGAAACGGUAGCUAAUACCGCAUAACGUCGCAAGACCAAAGAGGGGGACCUUCGGGCCUCUUGCCAUCAGAUGUGCCCAGAUGGGAUUAGCUAGUAGGUGGGGUAACGGCUCACCUAGGCGACGAUCCCUAGCUGGUCUGAGAGGAUGACCAGCCACACUGGAACUGAGACACGGUCCAGACUCCUACGGGAGGCAGCAGUGGGGAAUAUUGCACAAUGGGCGCAAGCCUGAUGCAGCCAUGCCGCGUGUAUGAAGAAGGCCUUCGGGUCGUAAAGUACUUUCAGCGAGGAGGAAGGCAUUGUGGUUAAUAACCACAGUGAUUGACGUUACUCGCAGAAGAAGCACCGGCU
RNAcentral lists this ribosomal RNA (473 nucleotides) under uncultured bacterium. Its description in RNAcentral is "bacterial SSU rRNA". It matches the Rfam family "Bacterial small subunit ribosomal RNA", at positions 34 to 498 of the family's 1533-position model. The record is from RNAcentral.